Molecule: long non-coding RNA, 173 nt
Organism: Cebus imitator (Panamanian white-faced capuchin)
Lineage: Eukaryota; Metazoa; Chordata; Mammalia; Primates; Cebidae
Exons: 3
Source: RefSeq, a predicted model, not a curated record
AUUUUACCCUAAAUAAUUAACUAAUCAAUUUCUUCUUUAUUUCCUAGUUUAUUUGCGUAGAAGUGUUUAUAUUAUUCUCUGAUGGUAGUCUGUAUUUCUCUGGGAUUGGUGGUGAUAUCCCCUUUAUCAUUUUUUAUUGUGUCUAUUUGAUUCUUCUCUCUUUUCUUCUCUAU